This 19281-nucleotide long non-coding RNA is filed under the name Citrus x clementina. RNAcentral describes it as "Citrus clementina (C. clementina) long non-coding RNA (CCLE_LNC004219)". The stretch from base 17062 to 17168 matches the Rfam family "Plant small nucleolar RNA R71". Lineage: Eukaryota; Viridiplantae; Streptophyta; Magnoliopsida; Sapindales; Rutaceae. The record is from RNAcentral.
CCAUUAAACCCAAUUGAAAUUGGGCCUAAAACUAGGAUUCAUUAAGCCCAAAACUAUGUUUGAACUUAAAUGCAAAAAAUUAAAAUUUUUCUGCCAAAAUGAAAACUUAUGGAACCAUAGGGACCUCCAUAAUAAAAACCAUGAAACCCUAAAUCCAUAUUUUUCUUUCUUCUUUCCCCAACCGCCAUCUCCAAAAACCUCCAGCCACUGUUCACUAUUGCCACCGAUCUCCGACGCCGACGCCAAACCAACCGCUGCCGCCUGGCCGGAAAACGUGCCAAAACAUAUUGAAUGCAGAGUGGUUGUUGAUUCAAGUCUGGUUCAGCUAACUCUCUAAGAGUUCUUUCUACAGGUGCAGGUCUGUCCAUCACUUGUUUUUCUGAAUCGCUAGAUGAUUCAACUAAAUCAGGCAUUGUAUCUGUUUCAGAAAGCAAAGGCGACGAGGAUCGUUGCUUAGCUCGCUUCGUCUGCUGUCUCAGCUAGCGAGCUGUCUUCUCAAUUUCAGGAUCAAACGAAAGUGUACCUGUACGAGAAGAACGAACCAUACACCAAGUAAAACGUAAAAAGGAUUAAAUAAAUGACACCAAUCCCCGGCAACGGCGCCAAAAUUUGAUGGUUGCUGAAGCUAACAAAAAUAAAUUCCUACUCUAAAUAAAUUGUGUAUAGUGAUUGAGUAGGGUAGUGUCCACAGUGAUUGGUAAUUAUUUAAAUCCUUUUGAAACGUAAAACGUAAAAUGGGGGAAUUGUUGACAAUAAUAAAAAUCAAAUUAAAAUAACAAGAAUGCAAAUUAAAGUUGUAAUUCAAAUUAGAGAAAGCUCUGGUUGAAGGAAUUAACUCAGCUUGAUUCGACUACUGAUCAUUGAUUCAAAUAUAGAUUAUUAUUACUUAUGAAUAGACCGGUUAUAGCUACUGAGACCCUCUAAUAGCCAAUCUCUCCUUAACUAGUCGAUAACCAAGGUACAACCAUUGGUUAUUUCCCUAAUCAAUCGACAACCCUAGAUACGAUCAUAAGAUUUAAUCAAUUGACAGCCUGAAAAACCAGAGAGACCCAAAUCCUAAUCAACACAUAUGAUGAUUCAUUUAAAUUAGAUUGUUUAUUCUCACAACACAACUCACUGAUAUGUUAUUUGUCACAAACAUUAAAUUCUUCAUACGAUGAAUUCUUUAAUUGACAAUAGAUUAAGUUGAUAAUUAAAUAGUGGCCAAUUACCUAAUUAACAAACAUAAUCAUGAAAAUAAUUCAGAGAAUAAACAAAUACCCAAAAAGUAAUAAAACAAUCAAAGCACAAGAAAGAUCUCACAGUAGUGAUGAAUCAAAGCUGCAUUAACCUUCAACCAGAAAAAUAGGUUUAGUUCUUCAUAGAGAGAAGAGAAAAGUUUAGAUGUAGGGUUUCUUUUUCCUCUUCCAAAAGUCCCCCUUUUUCAUAAUAGAUUCCUCUCUUAAAUACUCUCUCUCUCUUCUCCUCUAGAAUUCUAUUUAAAAUAAAAUACUAAUAUCUGAAAUAUUAAAUUCGUAAUUACAAAAAUAACCAAAAAUACAAAACACGUUAAACUAAAAACUGUAGGUCCAUAGUUGACAGCACGCGCCCACGCCUUAUCAACAAAGUUCUUCUGACGCUCAUAAUUUCUCCAAGAGAACAAUCAUCUUUAAAUAUCAUCUUAUAGCUCAAUUUUAUCACAAAUCAAUAAAAUUGCACCUACAAAAGUAAAACACAAGUAAAUCAUCAUUAUUAAGUGCAAAACAUCGAUAUUAAGGGAAGUAAACAAUGCAAAACUAGUGCAUAAAUUGCACUCUAACAACUGGUCACAUUAGAAAGGCUUUAUCACUGACAUUGUUGCUAAAGCAAUCAAAUAUGAUGCUUCGACUACAUCAGUUUCCUAAACAUUAUAACAAAAAAUAAGUGGGGAAAAAAAUUAAAGAAAGAAAUUAUUGAUAAAACUAUGCAAAGAGUUAACUAGUUAAAUUAGUGAUCAUGAUCCCAAAAUUGCAAGUUUUCAACAUAACUGAACAUUUACUUGUGUUUUGUAAUAAUACAUGGCAUACAUCUGCUUCCUCCCACAAUCUAAUGCAGCUUCCAGGCUCCUGAGGGAAUUGCCUCAUAACAAUUUGUCUACCCCAUUUCUUGUAACUACUCACGCAUCCACAGUCCGCUGAAAUCAUCUACGGUUAAUAGAGGUUUUUCAAUAGGACUAACAAUUUUGAUAAUUGGGUCAAAAUCACAAUAUUUGAGAUUUUUUUUCACAUAAUCUCUUAGGGGUGUUCGCGGAUCGGAUUUUACAGAUUGGACAUCGAUCCAUAUCCGAUCCAUCAUUUUGUGGAUUAUAAUUUUUCAAUCCAAUCCAAUCCAUGGAUUGAUAAAAUUCAAUCCAAAUCCAAUCCAUAUAUCUGCAGAUCAGAUGCGGAUUUGACUCAAUUCAUAUCCAAUCCACACGUCUGCGGAUUGAAUGCAGAUUUGACUCAAUCCAUAUUCAAUCCAUCAUUUUGUACAUUAGUUUUCGAAUUAAAAAAUUUUAAUUCUCUCCAACUAAUGAAAUAAAAAAAAACUAAUAUAAAAAUAAUUUUGCUACCAAUUAAAUUUAAAAUUGAAUAAAAUUUAAAUAAAUUAAUUGUUUAAAUAAACCUAAAAUAAUACAUUUAAAAUUUCAAAAUAUAACGCAUCGAGACUAAUUAUUCAAAUAAAGCUACAACAAUACGUUCAAAGUUUCAAAAUAUAACAUACCAAGCUUAAUUGUUCAAAUAAAAUUACAAUAAUACGUUAAUAUAACACUGAAAUUAAUUAUUCAAAUAAAGCCAGAAUUAAUUGAAAUGGCGAAGUUUUGGAAACCAAACACAGUCUGAUCCUUUACCAGGGCUGUUGCUCCUGUCGAAAAGUGGUGAUUACGGAGCCGUCCAUGAUGGGAACUAGGAGAAGCCGUACAGGUGGUGAUCUUGAAGGUUGUGAUAGUGCAAUUGUUCAGCUGGAACCAGUGAAUGUGAAGUGGCUCGAUGGACUUGGGAAAGAAGAUGGCUUGCUCUUACCAGAAUCGCGCGGCUGAUGUCCUUCAAAUCUGUGUCGAGAGUGUAUCCAACCAGUAUUGAGUGUUGCUAGUGUGUGUAACAACAGGGAAGCUUAGGGUUUUUUGUUUGCAAAUUGUUGAUGAUUUGGCGUCAUGUUACUUUGUUUUUGGGUGACUUUGCAAAUUGUUAGUGACUUGGCGUCAUAUUAUUUUGUUUUUGGGUGACUUUGCAAAUUGUUGGUGACUUGGCGUUAUGUUACUUUACUUUUGCUAGUACAUGUGACUUUGUUUUUAUUUUGUUUUACAAUUUUUACAAGUUAUAUUUGUGUAUUUGAUUAUUUAAUUAUUUUUCAUUUUAUAUUAUUAUUAGGUAAUGGCUAAGAUAUGUUAUAGUGCUUAUGUAACUAUGUAAUCUCACAUUUAUAAUUUUUUAAAUUAAAUUAUAUAUAUAUAUAUAUAUUGACGGAUUCACGUAUUUUUGCGGAUUUACAGAAGUAAAUCCAUAUCCAAUCCAUCGACUGCGGAUUUUUAAAUUUUCAAUCCAUAUCCAAUCCACCAAUCCAUAGAUUGGAUUUAUACGGUUCAGAUUAAGCGGAUCAGAUUAGAUUCUGAACACCCCUCUAAUCUUUAUACUUCCCUCAUAGAAACAUGCAAUAUUGAGAAAUAUUCUUUUUUCUUUUUCUUUUGACCCAUCAAAACUUAUUUGAAGUACAUGAAGAAUCUCACUUUCAGGACCUCUUUGUAGUCAUUGUAGUGCACUUUCCUGUUCAGCUAUAGUUCUACCAAACAAAAAUGAGCCCAGAACCUUCAGAGCUAAUGGAAGACCACCAGCAUUAAGGGGAAAAAAAUAAAACUUUACAAAACUAAGUUUUUGGUUUUUAGUGAAUGAGGUUUCUCAUCUCAUCUCCACCUUAGGGGAAAAAAAAUAAAACUAAAACUAAACUAAAACUAAAAUUGAUCAAGAAUUGUAGACGCAAAUAUUUCUCAAAGACCAAAGUUUACCUGUACAAAAAUAUGAAACUUGAUAAUGGUUCUGUUUUGGAAAUAAAUGAUGUUUUUCUUCAUAUUACUUCUGAAAAUUCAAAAACAAAAAUGAAAAUAAAGAGAACUGCAUAGCAUAGGACUUACAGCUUCGAUAUGUUGCAAGCAGUAGAGGAAUUUUCUUAAUAAGAAUUCCGACCGCAAACAUUCUAAGCCCUAACAUCCAAUAUGUUUUAAAUAUCAACUACAUGUCAACGACGGGGAAUUCCAAGGAAUCUUCUAUUUAAAGAAUCAACCAUUGUCAAUUCUUAUAAACGAAGUCUUCAAAUUGACAUUGCGGCCUCUGUUGUUUAAAGGAAAAAAAAAUUCAGUAGUUGUCAAUUCCUAUCAACCAAGUCCUCCAACCAAAAUUACAUACGGGGGUGGAGAAAAGAAAAAUAAAAAUCAAAUGUUGAAUCCUCUUGAUUGUAUCAUGGAUAAAUCUGAUUUAGAUCUGAGUCCAUAUUUUAAUAGAUUCAUCGACCCAUUUUCAGACGUGCCAUGAAUUGUAAAUUAAGCCAAAUAUUCACAAAAAACAACAAAGAAACAAAAACCAGAUUCUGUGUUUAGCCGCAAAUGGGCUGUUUCACAGCCAAGCAAGAAAACAAAUGAAGAAAAUUAAUUGCUUUCCAGUGGUUCAAGAAUUAAUACCAUUAUUGAUUGCUUCGAGAGUGUGGGAUUUAUCCCACCAUUUCCGCCAAGCCCAUAGACGUUAUGUGGAUCAAAGCUCACAAUUCAGGAAAGUUUUUUUUGCCUUUAAUCUUUUAUCCUUACGCUUUAAUUUUUAUGUGAGCUUUGAUUAUCUUACAUUGGGGACAAUGUAAGUUCUUGGUGUGGGGGAGGGAUUUUUGCAUUAUUGAUGUCUGGAAGUAGUAUUUUCACUCUACUCAUCCUUAAAUGAUUUUGGAGUUAGUAUGCUUCAUAUAUUAUUAUUUUUUCUUUUCUUUUCUUUCUCACUACUCUUUUCCCAUCUAUCUCAAAUUAUUUACAUCUAUUUUUAUUUUAUCAUACUCUUUCAUCACUCACAUUUUAUCUUUCACUUUUCAUAUUAUUACAUACAUCUUUCUCACUUCUUAUCAUUUUUACCUUUCCUUUUAUAUAUCACUCAUACCUUCUUCUCAUUCUAUACCACUAUUGAUGAUUGAUUCAUUUGAAGAGUGUACAUGAUUUGAUGGCAAUUUUACCAACUUUGUGAGGAUUUAACCCUAUGAGCAACCACUUUGCUCUAAUAUUUUUGUUAUGUGAAUAUCAAUCUUAGUUUGUUUAUUCUAGAACUUGCUUUGUUAUGCAUGUUGAAGCCGCAUUACGGGAUUUUAUGCAUUAAAAUGAUAAGGGUAAACCCUUUUCCAUUUUUCUAUUCUCGCAUUUUUUUUUCUCUACCUGAAGACCUUUAUUUACUAUCUUUGUUUGAGCCUUAACCAUUACCCAUCUAAUUCUCUCCGUCUACUUAACCAUUUUUCUUCUUUUUGAGCCUCAAUUUAAGGAGAUUUUUGGACUCAUUGUGUGGAUAUAAUUUGUUGCUUUUCUACCUUGUAUUAAAGUUUCUCAAUUAGAUCAACAAGCAUUAUGCUUGAAUUAAAUUGUGCAAGGUUCGUUUCUUUUGUUUGAUUCGAAAAAAAAAUAAAAAAUAAAAAAAAAAGAAAAAAAAAAGAAAAAGAAAAAUUGAAAAAAAAGAUCAAAAAAAAUGUUUCCAUUCUUGGUGACUUGAAUAGAAAUAAGCAUUUUGAUAUCAUAAGUUCAUUCAAUGAGUUCAUUAUUCUCAUUUUGAUCUCUUUUUCUUUUGUAGACCUUUCUUUUUCAUUUAACCUAUUUAACCCCAUUACAACCUUUUUAAGACCCUUAGAUUUUUGCAUUUUAUUCAUAUUUUGUGGAUUGAGAUGUGAUAUAUGAGCAAGCUUAUGGUAAUAGCAUUCUUUGAUUUGAUUUGAGUGCAUAAAUGAUACCCUAAACACUUUGAGUGCAUGGAGUGAAGUCAUUGAGAGGGCUAUUAAAUCUUGUUGCACUUGAAUUUUGAAUGGAUCUUCUUGGUGGUUGAAUGUUCUUAUUCUAUCUUAUGAGAUUCUAUGCUUUAAAAAUCCUUGUCUCUCGAAUGUUGAUCGACUUAAUUUCUUGAGGUAUGCUUGCUUAAAAUUGUUUUUGGAUGAGUUGAGAUGAGAAUUGAGUGGAGAUUUGGGAUUAAUCUUGAGUUAUAUGCUUGAGGACAAGCAUCAUCUUGGUGUGGGGGAAUUUGUUAGAGUGCAAUUUAUGCACUAGUUUUCAUUAUUCACUUCUCUUAAUAUCGAUGUUUUGCACUUAAUAAUAGUUAUUUACUUGUGUUUUACUUUUAUAGGUGCAAUUUUAUUGAUUGGUAAUAAAAUUGAGCUAUAAGAUGAUGUUUAAGGAUGAUUGUUCUCUUGGAGAAAUUAUGAGUGUCAAAAGAACUUUGUUGAUAAGGCGUGGGCGCGUGCUGUCAACUGCGGACCUGCAGUUUUUAGUUUAACGUGUUUUAUAUUUUUGGUUAUUUUUGUAAUUACGAAUUUAAUAUUUCAGAUAUUAGUAUUUUAUUUUAAAUAGAAAUCUAAAAGAGAAGAGAGAGAGAGUAUUUAAGGGAGGAAUCUAUUGUGAAAAAAGGGGAGAUUGGAGAAAAAGAAAGAAACCCUAGAUCUAAACCUUUCUCUUCUCUCUAUGAAGAACUAAACCUAUUUUUCUGGUUGAAAGAUAAUGAAGCUUUGAUUCAUCACUAUUGUGAUGACUUUCUUAUGCUUUAAUUGUUUUAUUGCUUUUUGGGUAUUUGUUUAUUGUCUGAAUUAUUUUCAUGAUUAUGUUUGUUAAUUAGGUAAUUGGCCACUAUUUAAUUAUCAACUUAAUCUAUUGUCAAUUAAAGGAUUCAUCGUAUGAAGAUUUUAAUGUUUGUGACAAAUAACAUAGCAGUGAGUUGUGUUAUGAGAAUAAACAAUCUAAUUUAAAUGAAUCAUCGCAUGUGUUGAUUAGGAUUUGGGUCUCUCUGGUCUUUCAGGCUGUCAAUUGAUUAAAUCCUAUGAUCAUAUCUAGGGUUGUCUAUUGAUUAGGGAAAUAACUAACGGUCGUACCUUGGUUAUCGACUAGUUCAGGAGAGAUUGGCUAUUAGAGGGUCUUAGUAGCUAUAAUCGGUCUAUUCAUAAGUAAUAAUAAUCUAUAUUUGAAUUAAUGAUCAGUAGUCGAAUCAAGCUGAGUUAAUUCCUUCAACCAGAGCUUUCUCUAAUUUGAAUUACAACUUUAAUUUACAUUCUUGUUAUUUUAAUUUGAUUUUUAUUAUUGUCAACAAUUCCCCCAUUUUACGUUUUACGUUUCAAAAGGAUUUAAAUAAUUACCGAUCUCUGUGGACACGACCCUGCUCAAUCACUAUACACAAUUUAUUUAGAGUAAGUAUUUAUUUUUGUUGGCUUCGACAACCAUCAAAUUUUGGCGCCGUUGCCAGGGAUUGGUGUCAUUUAUUUAAUCCUUUUUACGUUUUCUUGGUGUAUGGUUCGUUCUUCUCAUACAGGUACACUUUCGUUUGAUCCUGAAAUUGAGAAGACAGCUCACCAGCUGAGACAGCAGACGAAGCGAGCUAAGCAACGAUCCUCGUCACCUUUGCUUUCUGAAAUAGAUACGGUGCCUGAUUUGGUUUAAUCAUCUAGCGAUUCAGAAGAACAAGUGAUGGAUAGAGCUGCACCUGUAGAAAAAACUCUUAGAGAGUUAGCUGAACUAGACUUGAAUCAGCAACCACUCUACAUUCAAUAUGUAGAUUUGGAGGUAAAUUUUGAAUUAAAGUCUGGUCUUAUUCAUUUAUUACCCAAGUUUCAUGGUUUUGCAGGUGAAGAUCCUCAUAAACAUCUCGAGGAGUUUCAUGUUGUAUGUUCAAGUAUGAGACCACAAGGCGUGACUGAAGAGCAGAUUAAGCUGCGUGCUUUUCCUUUCUCUUUAGAUGGACUAGCUAAAGACUGGUUGUACUACUUGCCUCCUGGAUCAAUUACAACAUGGAAUGGUUUGAAGAAGCAGUUUCUCGAGAAGUACUUUCCUGCUUCAAGAGCUGCCAACAUCAGAAAAGAUAUUUGUGGGAUCAGACAACUUCCUGGGGAAACUUUGUAUGAGUAUUGAGAGCGAUUCAAACAAUUGUGUGCCAGCUGUCCUCAGCAUCAGAUUUCUGAUCAACUUCUUAUUCAAUAUUUUUACGAAGGACUGUCAUUAAUGGAUAGGAGUAUGAUAGAUGCUGCUAGUGGAGGUGUGUUCGUGAACAAGACUCCAACUCAAGUAAGGGAGUUGAUCUCAAAUAUGGCUGCCAAUGCACAACAAUUUGGCAGCAGGCAAGAUGCCACUUCAAGAAUGGUGAAUGAGGUAAAUAUUUCUUCUGUUGAACAACGUUUAGAUAAACUUACUUCUCUUGUGGAAAAGUUUGUUUUAGGUAAUGUGCAACAGAUAAAGACUUGUGGCAUUUGUUCCAAUAUGGGUCAUUCAACUGAUAUGUGUCCUACACCUCAAGAAGAACCCGUUGAACAAGCCAAUGCAAUUGGAGGAUUUCCAGGCAUGCCUCAGAGGAGGUAUGAUCCUCAUGCACAAACAUACAAUCCGGGAUGGAAGGAUCACCCCAACUUCAGCUAUGGAGUUAGGCCGUAAGGAUUCCCACAACAGUAUCCACCAAGACAACCAGCACCUCCACAGUCAAACUCCAAGUUAGGUAUAUCUCUUAAAGAAAUUGUUAAAUCACUUGCGACUAACGCUCAACAAUUUUAGCAGCCAACCACAACAAGCAUUCAGAAUUUGGAGAGCAAAGUGAGUCAAUUGGCAACUACGAUGAGCCGUCUAGAGUCUCAAGUAUCAGGGAGAUUGCCUUUACAAUCUGAGGUGAAUCCAAAGCAAAACGCUAGUGCCAUCAUCCUUAGAAGUGGGAAGGAGUUGCAAGAGCCUAGUAAGAAAGUGACAAAGCAUGUAGAAGAUGAGCUUGAGAAGAAUGAAUUGAUGCCUAAAUCCAAAGAUGCACAACCCACCAGAGCGAAACCCCUACCUAUUGUGAUACCUCCUCCUUUUCCAAAUCAGUUUGCAAAAUCCAAGAAGGAGGAACAAGGGAAAGACAUCCUUGAGACAUUUCGCAAGGUUGAGGUAAACAUUCCCUUAUUAGAUGCUAUAAAACAAAUACCUCGAUAUGCUAAAUUCCUUAAGGAACUAUGCACCUCCAAGAGAAAAUUAAGAGGAGAUGAAAGAGUUCACAUGGGAGAGAAUGUUUCCGCAGUUCUCCAAAAGAAACUACCUCCUAAGUGCAAGGAUCUAGGUAUGUUUACUAUCUCUUGCAAAAUUGGUAGUGUUAGAGUUGAAAAGGCUAUGUUAGAUCUAAGAGCUUCAAUUAAUGUCAUGCCUCGUUCUAUUUAUUCAUCUUUGAAUGUUGGGGCAUUAAAAGAAACUGGCGUGAUAAUUCAACUAGCUGAUAGGUCUAAUACAUAUCGUGAUGGGGUAUUAGAGGAUAUCUUAGUACAAGUUAAUGAGUUGGUUUUUCCUGCUGAUUUUUAUGUACUUGAUAUGGAAGAGGAUAACUCCUCUAAUUCUAUCCCAAUUUUGCUAGGAAGACCUUUUCUUAACACUGCUAGAACUAAAAUGGAUGUACAUAAAGGGACUCUUACUAUGGAGUUUAAUGGAGAGGUUAUAGAGUUCAAUAUGUAUGAUGCUAUGAAAUAUCUCAGUGAGGAACAUUCGGUAUUUUCUAUGGAUGUUAUUAACCCUAUAGUGCAGGAAGUUUUUUAUUUGGAUGUUGAAGAUUCAUUGGUAGCUGCUUUAAAUAACAGUUUGGGCCUCGAAAGAUUGCAAAAGGAUGAAAAUGAGUUUGUUUUAAAUUCUGUAUUGCAAGAGACAAUUUAUGAAUUAAAUUCUUUGAGAACUUUAACUCAUCAUAUGUCUAAUAUUGAAUUACCUUCAUCUCAUGCAAAACUUCUUCCAUCUAAUUUGUAGGCACCGAAAAUAGAGCUUAAACCAUUGCCGAGUUAUCUAAAGUACAUGUUUCUAGGAGAGGAUGAGACACUUCCGGUGAUCAUCUCUUCAAAGCUUAGUACUUUAGAGGAAGAGAAACUUAUUAGAGUGCUGAAGGAUUACAAAAAGGCUAUUAGGUGGACAAUUACAGAUAUUAAAAGGAUAAGUCCGUCUAUGUGCAUGCAUAGAAUACUACUGGAGGAAGAUGCCAAACCUUUAAUUCAAGCUCAACGCCGUUUGAAUCCACUCAUAAUGGAAGUAGUGAAGAAAGAAAUUCUAAAACUUCUUGAUGCAGGUAUAAUCUAUCCAAUUUCGGAUAGCAAAUGGGUAAGUCCGGUACAAGUAGUACCAAAGAAAACUGGGAUAACAAUUAUUGAGAAUUCUUAUGGUGAGUUAGUACCUACCCGAGUUUAGAAUGGGUGGAAGGUUUGUAUUGAUUUUAGAAAGCUUGAUUCACUCACUAGGAAGGAUCAUUUUCCUAUUCCUUUUAUUGAUCAGAUGCUUGAAAGGUUAGCAGAAAAAUCUCACUUUUGUUGUCUUGAUGGCUAUUCAGGUUUUCAUCAGAUACCAGUUGCGCCCGAGGAUCAGGAGAGGACUGCCUUCACAUGUCCUUUUGGAACCUUUGCGUACCGACGUAUGCCAUUUGGUCUUUGUAACGCUCCCGCCACUUUUCAGAGGUGCAUGGUCAGUAUUUUUUCAGACUAUGUAGAAAACACUAUAGAGGUAUUUAUGGACGAUUUUAUGGUCUAUGCUGAUUCUUUCGAUGAUUGUCUCUGUAAUCUGAAGAAAGUGCUUGAAAGAUGCAUUGAAACAAACCUUGUCUUGAAUUAUGAAAAAUGUCAUUUUAUGGUAAAUUAAGGCAUUAUUUUGGGUCAUGUAGUCUAUGUUAGAGGAAUUGAGGUAAAUAAAGCUAAAAUAGAUGUUAUUAAAUCUUUACCUUAUCCCACAUGUGUGCGGGAAGUUCGUUCUUUCCUUGGUCAUGCAGGUUUCUAUAGACAAUUUAUCAAGGAUUUUUCGAAGAUAGCUCAGCCUUUAUGCAAGCUUCUUCAGAAAGAUGUGACGUUUGAUUUUAAUGAAGCAUGCAAGGUAGCAUUUGAUAAACUUAAGGAGUUAUUGACUUCAGCUCCAAUUAUACAGCCACCAGACUGGAGCCUCCCUUUUGAGAUAAUGUGCGACGCCAGUAAUUAUAUUAUUGGUGCUGUUCUCGAACAAAGGGUUGGAAGAGCUGCUCAUGUGAUAUAUUACGCAUCGAGAACACUUGAUAGUGCUCAAUGCAAUUACUCAACAAUGGAAAAAGAACUUUUAGCUAUUGUUUUUGCUUUAGAAAAAUUCCGUUCAUAUUUAUUGGGUACUAAAGUGAUUGUUUUUUCUGACCAUGUAGCUUUCAGAUAUUUGCUCACCAAGAAGGAAGCGAAACCGAGACUUAUUCGCUGGAUCCUACUGCUUCAAGAAUUCAACUUGGAGAUCCGUGACAAGAAAGGAACAGAAAACUUAGUUGCAGACCACCUUAGUAGAUUGAUCACGAGUGAAGAAGCAGCACCUUUGAAGGAUGAUUUUCCAGAUGAGCAUCUCUUUGUAACUCAAGGUAUGGUUCCUUGGUACGCUAACAUUGUCAAUUACUUAGUUACAAGAAUACUACCUAGUGAUCUGACGAGGGCUCAAAAAGAUAAAAUUAAGAGCGAUGCUAAAUACUAUGUUUGGGAUGACCCUUACUUGUGGAAACAUUACUCUGACCAAGUCAUCAGAAGGUGCGUAUCUGAGUUUGAAAUUCCUUUUAUUCUUCAGUUUUGUCACUCAUAUGCAUGUGGUGGUCAUUUUGGUCCCAAAAGGACAGCAUCCAAGGUGUUAGAAUGUGGUUUAUUUUGGCCUACUUUAUUUCGUGAUUCAUACAUGUUUUGUAAGUCGUGUGAGAAUUGUCAAAAGACUGGUAAUUUAAGUCAUAGAAAUCAAAUGCCACUUACCCCUAUUCUUGUAUGUGAAAUAUUUGAUAUGUGGGGCAUUGAUUUUAUGGGACAUUUUCCCUCAUCUUUUGGCAAUGCUUACAUUCUUUUAGCAGUGGAUUACGUUUCUAAGGGGGUAGAGGCUAAGGCCACCUGGACUGACAAUGCUAAAGUUGUUGUAGAUUUUGUCAAGUUUAAUAUUUUUGCCAGGUUUGGUGUACCGAGAGCGAUGAUAAGUGAUAGAGGCACUCAUUUCUGUAAUCGAGUGGUGGAAGCUUUGUUCAAAAGAUAUCAUGUUACCCACCGAGUGUCUACCGCCUAUCAUCCGCAGUCAAGUGAACAAGCUGAGAUAUCAAACAGAGAAAUCAAGUCUAUUCUUGAAAAGAUAGUUAGUCCAAAUCGAAAGGAUUGGAGUUUGCGAUUAGAUGAUGCAUUAUGGGCGUAUUGCAUGGCUUACAAAACUCCCAUAGGUAUGUCUCCUUAUCGUUUAGUAUUUGGUAAGCCUUGUCAUUUACCUGUAGAACUUGAGCACAGAGCAUACUGGGCAGUUAAGCAAUGCAAUAUGCGGAUGGAUGAAGCGGGAAAGCAAAGGAAGUUGCAGCUGCAAGAGUUGGAGGAGAUUAGAAAUGAAUCCUACGAGAGUUCGCGAUUUUACAAGAAAAAGACGAAGACAUUUCAUGACAGAAUAAUUUUGAGAAAGGAGUUCUCUGUUGGUCAAAAAGUUCUUCUUUUUCAUUUUAAACUUAAACUUUUUCCUAGUAAAUUACGUUCUCAUUGGGUAGGACCUUUUAUUGUUACUAAUGUUAUUCCUCAUGGUGCAGUUGAGAUUCGGACUCCAACCUCUGAUAAAGUCUUUAAGGUUAAUGGUCAUCGUUUAAAACCUUUUUAUGAAGGUUUUUCGGUGAAUAUUGUGGAGGAAAUGGCUCUCGAGAGUCCUAUUUAUGGAGAUUGAUGCAUAAAUGUGUCUAGCCAAAGACAUAAAACAAAGGCGCUUUUUGGGAGGCAACCCAAGUGAUUUGUUUAUUUUGGUUUUUGUUUUAUCUUCUUUUAGUUUUGAUUCAAAUAAAAAAAAAUUAAAUAAUGUGUUUGCUUAUUUUGGUCAGAAGAAAAUUUUUGAUAAGGCGUGCCCACGUGCUUAUUAGAAAAGUACUUUUGAAAUUUUUAGUGUCUCAAAGUGAUUCAUCACUAAAAAAAAAAAUAUUUUUUUUCCUUCUUUUCUUUCUUUUAUAUAUAUAUAUAUAUUUAUUUAUUUAUUUAAAAAAAUGAAAAAAAAAACAAAAAUCACAAAUCACAAAUCAUUGUUCACAAAUCCAUAAGUCAAAAAAAAAAAUUCAUUGUUGAUUAUCGUUUUCACCAGCAGCAGCCGCAUCAGUCCCACCUGCAACCACUAGCCCGCGCGCAGCAAGCCCCAGCCAUCACCAUCGCGCAGUGCAUCAGUCCCGCGUGCGCAACGCAGCCGAGCAGCAGCAGACGAGCACACCCCGCAACGCAGAUCCUCAGCUCCAGCCCCCGCGCGCAGUUCAAAUCAAUCCAGUCGUCACCAUCACGCAGCAGCACAGCCGCGGGCAACGCAAUGCAACCAGCAGCCCACGUGCGCCGCACAAUCAGUCCCACGCGCAACACAAGCCCCAGCAAAGCAACUAGCAUCACGCAACCCCCGCAACGCAGCACGAACCAACCAACUCCUAAGUGAUCUUUCUUUCCUAAAAAAUUAUAUGCUAAGAAUCGAUGCACACAUUUCAAAACAGGAUCACGUAAGAAAGAACUCUUUGAUUUACUCGGGUCAUAGGCAUUGUGAUCAACAGAUAAAUUACACCAAAGACCAUAAGGCUCAAAAUUUUCGCUAAAGUCACAAGUUGUUCCUAAAUAUGCAUCACUAGAAGAAUAAUAAUCAUCAAUGAAUCCUAAAGCUAGGUUAAAAUUCGUGAUAGAGUGUGAAAAAUUUCGUUCCAUUAACCUAAACUUUAUAACAUUCGGGAUAUGCAAAGUAAAAUCAUUCGGUAUAUUAAAUUGAAAAGUAGCAUAGAACUCCCUAAUCAACUCAACAUAACCCAAACAAUCAACAUCAACAAACUUACGCAAACCAAUCUUAUCUAUCAAAGAAUCAAAAUUAUCCUUAACAUUCAAUUUUUCAAGAGUCGGGUAAUGAAUAUACUUAGCUGGAAGUAUUUUUCGCUUGGAAAUAUCUUUAUACCUUUCUUUCUCUUGUUGAGUCGUGAAUGUGAGGCACCCUCCGAGAUUGGAUUCCGCAAGUGGCAAAACACUCAUGUCUUUUCCAUAUUUCGAUCUUUGUCUCACGGCUUGGCGUGAAUUUGAAACUGUAUUCCAUGGAACCGUAGUGGGAGUGGCAAUCUUGGAUUUCUUUGCGACGGGUGUCUUUUUAGAUGACUUGGAAGUUGAUGCUUUCCUCUUCGGCAUUGUUACAAUAAUUUCACUCACGGAUUUCGAUUCACCCGGUUGGAAUACAGGGCGUAGGCUGGUUGCGGACGAUUGUUGCUCGGUUGGAGCUUGGCGCGAUGGUGGAUUGCUGGUUGUGCGCUGGUGAUACUGGUUGAGUGCGGGAUGCUACGCGUUGGGGCUGAUUCUGAUGCGCGCUGCAGGGGCUGGUUCUGCUGCGGUAGUGACGCUGGUUGUGUUGCGUGCGCGGGCUGGAGCUGAUUCUGCUGCGCGCACGGGCUGCUGGAUUUGUGCGCUAGGGUUGAUUGCACGUGAGAGCUGGGCUGAUGCUGGUUCUGCGCGCUGCUAAGCAAAGGCUGGAUCUGCGCGCGCGGGUUGCUGCGUGGCUGCUCGGUGAAGGUUGGAGAAGAAAACCAAUUCUGUGAAUUAGGGAUUUUGUGAACAGUAAUUUUUUUUGUUUUUUUUUCAAAUAAUAUAUAUAUAUAUAUAUAAAAGAAAGAAAAGAAAGGAAAAAAACCUUUUUUUUCAUUUUUUUAAUUUUCAAAUAAAUAAAUAAUUUUUUUUUUUUAAUGAUGAAUCACUUUGAGACACAAAAAAAAUUUCAGAAGUACUUUUCUAAUAAGCAUGUGGGCACGCCUUAAAACCAUUUUACUUUAAAAAUCACAGAAGUACUUAUUAGUUAAGACGUGGGCACGCCUUAUCAAAAAUUUUCUUCUAGCCAAAAUAAGCAAACACAUUAUUUUUAAAAAAAAAUCUGAAUCAAAAUUAAAAGAAGAUAUAACAAAAACCAAAAUAAAUAAAUCAUUUAGGUUGCCUCCCAAAAAGCGCCUCUAUUUUAUGUUUUUGGCUAGACACAUUUAUGCAUCAAUCUCCAUAAUUAGGACUCUCGAGAGCCACAUCCUCCACAAUAUUCAUCGAAAAACCUUCAUAAAAAGGUUUUAAGCGAUGAUCAUUAACCUUAAAAACUUUGUCAGAGGUCGGACUCCGAAUCUCAACUGCACCAUGAGGAAAAAUAUUAGUAACAAUAAAAGGUCCAACCCAGGAAGAACGUAAUUUACCCAGAAAAAGUUUAAGCUUAGAAUGAAAAAGAAGAACUUUUUGACCAACAGAGAACUCCUUUCUCAAAAUCAUUCUAUCAUGAAAUGUCUUCGUUUUUUUCCUUGUAAAAAACUUCCUGCACUAUAGGGUUAAUAACAUCCACAAAAAAUACCGAAUGUUCCUCACUAGGAUAUUUCAUGGCAUCAUUCAUAUUGAAUUCUAUAACCUCUCCAUCAAACUCCAUAAUGAGAGUCCCUUUAUGUACAUCCAUUUUAGUCCUGCCAGUCUUAAGAAAUGGUCUUCCUAGCAAAAUUGGGACAGAAUUAGAGGAGUUAUCCUCUUCCAUAUCAAGUACAUAAAAAUCGGCAGGAAAAACCAACUCAAUAACUUGUACUAAGACAUCUUCUAAUACUCCAUCAGGAUAUGCAUUAGACCUAUCAGCUAGUUGAAUUAUCACGCCAGUUUCUUUUAAUGGACCAACAUUCAAAGAUGAAUAAAUGGAAUGAGGCAUGACAUUAAUAGAAGCUCUUAGAUCUAACAUAGCCUUUUCAACUCUAACACUACCAAUUUUACAAGGGAUAGUAAACAUACCUGGAUCCUUACACUUAGGAGGUAGUUUCUUUUGGAGAACUGCUGAAACAUUCUCCCCCAUGUGAACUUUUUCAUCUCCUCUUAAUUUUCUCUUGGAGGUGCACAGUUCCUUAAGGACUUUAGUAUAUCGAGGUAUUUGUUUUAUAGCAUCUAAUAAAGGAAUGUUUACCUCAACCUUGCGAAAUGUCUCAAGGAUGUCUUUCUCUUGUUCCUCCUUCUUGGAUUUUGCAAACCGGCUUGGAAAAGGAGGAGGUAUCACAAUAGGUAGGGGUUUUGCUCUGGUGGGUUGCGCAUCUUGAGAUUUAGGCAUCAAUUCAUUCUUUUCAAGCUCAUCUUCUACAUGCUUUGUCACUUUCUUACUAGGCUCUUGCAACUCUUUCGCACUUCUAAGGAUGACAACACUAACGUUUUGCUUUGGAUUCACCUCAGAUUGUGAAGGAAACCUCCCUAAUACUUGAGACUCCAGACGACUCACUGUAGUCGCCAAUUGACUCAUUUGGUUCUCUAAAUUCUGAAGGCUUGUUGUAGUUGCCUGCUGAAAUUGUUGAGUGUUAGUCGCAAGUGAUUUAACAAUUUCUUUAAGACAUAUACCUGACUUGGAGUUUGACUGUGGAGGUGCUGGUUGUCUUGGUGGAUACUGUUGUGGGAAUCCUAAUGGCCUAACUCCAUAGCUGAAGUUGGGGUGAUCCUUCCAUCCCGGAUUGUAUGUUUGUGCAUGAGGAUCAUACCUCCUCUGAGGCAUGCCUGGAAAUCCUCCAACUGCAUUGCUUGUUCAACGGGUUCUUCUUGAAGUGUAGGACACAUAUCAGUUGAAUGACCCAUAUUGUAACAAAUGCCACAAGUCUUCACUUGUUGCACAUUACCUACAACAAACUUUUCCACAAGAAAAGUAAGUUUAUCUAAACGUUGUUCAACAGAAGAAAUAUUUACCUCAUUCACCAUUUUUGAAGUGGAAUCUUGCCUGCUGCCAAAUUGUUGUGCAUUGGCAGCCAUAUUUGAGAUAAACUCCCUUGCUUGAGUAGGGGUCUUGUUCACCAACACGCCUCCACUAACAGCAUCUAUCAUACUCUUAUCCAUUAAUGAUAGUCCUUCAUAAAAUAUUGAAUAAGAAGUUGAUCAGAAAUCUGAUGCUGAGGACAGCUGGCACACAAUUGUUUGAAUCGCUCCCAAUACUCAUAUAAAGUCUCCCCAGGAAGUUGUCUGAUCCCACAAAUGUCUUUUCUGAUGUUGGCAGCUCUUAAAGCAGGAAAGUAUUUCUUAAGGAACUGCUUCUUCAAACCAUUCCAUGUUGUAAUCGAUCCAGGAGGCAAGUAGUACAACCAGUCUUUAGCUAGUCCAUCUAAAGAGAAAGGAAAAGCACGCAGCUUAAUCUGCUCUUCAGUCACGCCUUGUGGCCUCAUACUUGAACACACAACAUGAAACUCCUUGAGAUGUUUAUGAGGAUCUUCACCUACAAAACCAUGAAACUUGGGUAAUAAAUGAAUAAGACAGACUUUAAUUCAAAAUUUACCUCCAAGUCUACAUGUUGAAUGCAGAGUGGUUGCUGAUUCAAGUCUGGUUCAGCUAACUCUCUAAGAGUUCUUUCUACGUGUGCAGCUCUAUCCAUCACUUGUUCUUUUGAAUCGCUAGAUGAUUCAACUAAAUCAGACACCGUAUUUGUUUCAGAAAGCAAAGGCAACGAGGAUCGUUGCUUAGCUCGCUUCGUCUGUUGUCUCAGCUGGCGAGCUGUCUUCUCAAUUUCAGGAUCAAACGAAAGUGUACCUGUACAAGAAGAACGAACCAUACACCAAGUAAAACGUAAAAAGGAUUAAAUAAACGACACCAAUCCCCGGCAACGGCGCCAAACUUUGAUGGUUGUCGAAGUCAGCAAAAAUAAAUACCUACUCUAAAUAAAUUAUGUAUAGUGAUUGAGCAGGGUCGUGUCCAUAGAGAUCGGUAAUUAUUUAAAUCCUUUUAAAAUGUGAAACGUAAAAUGGGGGAAUUGUUGACAAUAAUAAAAAUCAAAUUAAAAUAACAAGAAUGCAAAUUAAAGUUGUAAUUCAAAUUGGAGAAAGCUCUGGUUGAAGGAAUUAACUCAGCUUGAUUCGACUACUAAUCAUUGAUUCAAAUAUAAAUUAUUACUACUUAUGAAUAGACCGAUUAUAGCUACUGAGACCCUCUAAUAGCCAAUCUCUCCUUAACUAGUCGAUAACCAAGGUACGACCAUUGGUUAUUUCCCUAAUCAAUAGACAACCAUAGAUACGAUCAUAGGAUUUAAUUAAUUGACAACCUCAAAAACCAAAGAGACCCAAAUCCUAAUCAACAAACACAUACGAUGGUUCAUUUAAAUUAGAUUGUUUAUUCUCACAACACAACUCUCUGCUAUGUUAUUUGUCACAAACAUUAAAAUCUUCAUACGAUGAAUCCUUUAAUUGACAAUAGAUUAAGUUGAUAAUUAAAUAGUGGCCAAUUAUCUAAUUAACAAACAUAAUCAUGAUAAUAAUUCAGAGAAUAAACAAAUACCCAAAAAGUAAUAAAACAGUUAAAGCAUAAGAAAGAUCUCAUAGUAGUGAUGAAUCAAAGCUUCAUUAACCUUCAACCAGAAUAAUAGGUUUAGUUCUUCAUAGAGAGAAGAGAAAAAUUUAGAUCUAGGGUUUCUCCCUUUUCUCCCCAAAAGUCCCUCUUUUUCACAAUAGAUUCCUCCCUUAAAUACUCUCUCUCUCUUCUCCUCUAGAAUUCUAUUUAAAAUAAAAUACUAAUAUCUGAAAUAUUAAAUUUGUAAUUACAAAAAUAACCAAAAAUAGAAAACACAUUAAACUAAAAACUGCAGGUCCGUAGUUGACAGCACGCACUCACGCCUUAUCAACAAAGUUCUUCUGACGCUCAUAAUUUCUCCAAGAGAACAAUCAUCCUUAAACAUCAUCUUGUAGCUCAAUUUUAUCACCAAUCAAUAAAAUUGUACCUACAAAAGUAAAACACAAGUAAAUCACUAUUAUUAAGUGCAAAACAUCGAUAUUAAGGGAAGUAAACAAUGCAAAACUAGUGCAUAAAUUGCACUCUAACACCUCUUGAUUGUAUCAUGGAUAAAUCUGAUUUAGAUCUGAGUCCAUAUUUUAACAGAUUCAUCAACCCAUUUUCAGACAUGCCAUGAAUUGUAAAUUAAGCCAAAUAUUCACAAAAAACAACAAAGAAACAAAAAACAGAUUCUGUGUUCAGCCGCAAAUGGGCUGUUUCACAGCCAAGCAAGAAAACAAAUGAAGAAAAUUAAUUGCUUUCCACUGGUUCAAGAAUUAAUACCAUUAUUGAUUGCUUCUCUAUUGGAAGAAAUAAUUUUGAAUAAAGCACAGCAUCAUUACUAUAAAU